This 121-nucleotide ribosomal RNA is filed under the name Aminicenantes bacterium SCGC AAA252-F08. Lineage: Bacteria; Candidatus Aminicenantota. RNAcentral also lists the same sequence under 5 other names. The record is from RNAcentral.
UUCCCGGCAACCAUAACGGAGAGGACACACCCGUUCCCAUUCCGAACACGGAAGUUAAGCUCUUGAGUGCCGAUGGUACUGCUCUGGGGACAGAGUGGGAGAGUAGGUCGUUGCCGGGUUU